Molecule: ribosomal RNA, 497 nt
Filed under: uncultured bacterium
Lineage: Bacteria
Description: partial 16S ribosomal RNA
Rfam family: Bacterial small subunit ribosomal RNA
Source: RNAcentral
GACGAACGCUGGCGGCGUGCCUAAUACAUGCAAGUUGAGCGCUGAAGGUUGGUACUUGUACCAACUGGAUGAGCAGCGAACGGGUGAGUAACGCGUGGGGAAUCUGCCUUUGAGCGGGGGACAACAUUUGGAAACGAAUGCUAAUACCGCAUAAAAACUUUAAACACAAGUUUUAAGUUUGAAAGAUGCAAUUGCAUCACUCAAAGAUGAUCCCGCGUUGUAUUAGCUAGUUGGUGAGGUAAAGGCUCACCAAGGCGAUGAUACAUAGCCGACCUGAGAGGGUGGUCGGCCACAUUGGGACUGAGACACGGCCCAAGCUCCUAAGGGAGGCAGCAGUAGGGAAUCUUCGGCAAUGGACGAAAGUCUGACCGAGCAACGCCGCGUGAGUGAAGAAGGGUUUCGGAUCGUAAAACUCUGUUGGUAGAGAAGAACGUUAGUGGGAGUGGAAAGCUCAUCAAGUGACGGUAACUACCCAGAAAGGGACGGCUAACUACGUG